AUGUGCGCUGAGUAUGAUGCUCUUGUCGCCAACCGGACUUGGACGCUGGUCCCUCGCCCUCCCGGCGCCAACAUCAUUACCGGCAAAUGGGUGUUUCAGCAUAAACUUCUACAGGAUGGUUCUCUGGACAGGUACAAGGCUCGUUGGGUCGUUCGUGGAUUUGCACAACGUGCCGGCGUUGACUUCUCGGAGACUUUCUCCCCGGUUGUUAAACCCGCCACGAUUCGUGUUGUCCUUCAGCUCGCCGCAUCUCGACACUGGCCCGUUCAUCAGCUUGACAUCAACAACGCCUUCCUCGACAGUCAUCGUCAGGAGCGUGUUCUUUGUCAGCAGCCAGCUGGUUUUGUUGAUCCCACUCCGCCUGAUGACGUUUGCCUGCUCUCACGGUCUCUCUAUGGCCUGAAACAGGCACCUCGUGCGUGGUAUCAACGCAUU
Molecule: ribosomal RNA, 435 nt
Filed under: Triticum aestivum (bread wheat)
Lineage: Eukaryota; Viridiplantae; Streptophyta; Magnoliopsida; Poales; Poaceae
Description: partial small subunit ribosomal RNA
Source: RNAcentral